AGCAGCCGCGGUAAUUCCAGCUCCAAUAGCGUAUAUUAAAGUUGUUGCAGUUAAAAAGCUCGUAGUUGAAUUUCGGGGUUCUACCGUUGGUCGGGCUUUGUCUGUACUGGCGUGUAGAAUUUCUACCUUCUGGGGAACCGUCAUGUUAUUAAUUUAACGUGGUGGGAAACCAGGACCUUUACCUUGAAAAAAUUAGAGUGUUCAAAGCAGGCAAUCGCUUGAAUACAUUAGCAUGGAAUAAUGAAAUAGGACGUUCGAUCUUAUUUUGUUGGUUUCUAAGAUUGACGUAAUGAUUAAUAGGGAUAGUUGGGGGCAUUAGUAUUCAAUUGUCAGAGGUGAAAUUCUUGGAUGUAU
RNAcentral lists this ribosomal RNA (354 nucleotides) under uncultured Racocetraceae. RNAcentral describes it as "bacterial SSU rRNA". It matches the Rfam family "Eukaryotic small subunit ribosomal RNA", at positions 569 to 929 of the family's 1831-position model. The record is from RNAcentral. Lineage: Eukaryota; Fungi; Glomeromycota; Glomeromycetes; Diversisporales; Gigasporaceae.